Molecule: unclassified non-coding RNA, 328 nt
Filed under: plant metagenome
Description: partial contains 5.8S ribosomal RNA, internal transcribed spacer 2, and large subunit ribosomal RNA
Rfam family: 5.8S ribosomal RNA (bases 1-104)
Source: RNAcentral
AAAUGCGAUAAGUAAUGUGCAUUGCAGAAUUCCGUGAAUCAUCGAAUCUUUGAACGCACAUUGCGCCCUCUGGUAUUCCGGGGGGCAUGCCUGUCCGAGCGUCAUUGCGAACCCCUCAAGCACGGCUUGUGUGAUGGGCCCUCCCGCGUCUUGGUCGUCAAGACGGGCCCGAAAUGCAGUGGCGGCUUCGCGGUUAUCCGAUCAGCCAGAGCGUAUGGGGACUUUCUCUCUGUCACACGCCCGCGGCGCGGACCGACGCCUGUCGACCUUUAUUCAUCUUUUUCUCGGUUGACCUCGGAUCAGGUAGGGAUACCCGCUGAACUUAAGC